This 435-nucleotide ribosomal RNA is filed under the name uncultured bacterium. Its description in RNAcentral is "partial 16S ribosomal RNA". It matches the Rfam family "Bacterial small subunit ribosomal RNA", at positions 29 to 507 of the family's 1533-position model. The record is from RNAcentral.
AACGAACGCUGGCGGCAUGCCUAACACAUGCAAGUCGAACGAUUGCCUUCGGGUGAUAGUGGCGCACGGGUGCGUAACGCGUGGGAAUCUGCCCUUAGGUUCGGAAUAACAGCUGGAAACGGCUGCUAAUACCGGAUGAUAUCGCGAGAUCAAAGAUUUAUCGCCUGAGGAUGAGCCCGCGUUGGAUUAGGUAGUUGGUGGGGUAAAGGCCUACCAAGCCGACGAUCCAUAGCUGGUCUGAGAGGAUGAUCAGCCACACUGGGACUGGGACACGGCCCAGACUCCUACGGGAAGCAGCAGUGGGGAAUAUUGGACAAUGGGCGCAAGCCUGAUCCAGCAAUGCCGCGUGAGUGAUGAAGGCCGUAGGGUUGUAAAGCUCUUUUACCCGGGAAGAUAAUGACGGUACCGGGAGAAUAAGCCCCGGCUAACUCCGUG